This is a non-coding RNA of Malus domestica (apple), 1056 nucleotides long. Lineage: Eukaryota; Viridiplantae; Streptophyta; Magnoliopsida; Rosales; Rosaceae. The record is from RefSeq and is a predicted model, not a curated record.
CAACUUUCGUUGGAUUUUCUUCCUCCUAUAGUGUUAUACACGUGUUGCUCAUCGUGGAAGGGAAGAAACAUGGAAAAGCGGGCUCUUCCAUUUGCUUCCACAGAUUUCUCGAGCUCUCUCUCAAGCUCCGAAUCGCUGGCCUCCGCAAGAAGGAAAUCGCCAAUUUGAAAGCUUGGUUUCCUGCUUUCUCACUAGAGAUCUCUGCCAUGGCUGCUCCACCAAACUUGCGUCCGCUCUUUCGAACCAGCAUACCCUUACUGGAAUUUUAUGAUUUGGGAUAGUGGCGAUUUGAAACCGUUAACUGGGAUGAGAAUUAGAGUGAUUUGAAAACGGAGAGCAAGGAAUUGCAGGUAUCAAAUUCGGUUUUGUUUGUAUGGUAACAUGGAUUGCUCAGGUUACGUAGGAGAGGAUGGAGGUGAGAAAUACAAUUGGGAAAGAUAUGCUGAGAGGUUUACAAAACACCUUUGAAGCUGUCGUAGCUUGAAUGGAAGAUGCAAUUCCAACACCUAUCAAUCAGGUACAACUGUAUAAAAAGGCAACAAAGAUUAAAGUCCACGUGUGUAGAAUGUGGAGACCGAGAAUUUCAGGAACGACUGAUAAAAUUACAAGUCUGCACUGUAUACUGGUUGACAAAAGGUGGUACAAUAGUUCUAUCCGAUGAUGGUCGCUAUUUUUCAAAGGAUGCUGUGGAAUUUCAAGAUUGAAAACCGCUGGCUUUCAAUCUUUUAAAACAAAUUACCUUUGUAAGUUUCACUAAUGAAAGAACCCAUGGAGCGUUGUUCAACCCAUUUGUUGGGGCAUGUUAGCAGUGAAGACAAUCAAAGCCCAAUUUAUAUUAGUAGGCGGUGGGUUAGUUAAGAGUGUAUGGAAAAAAGAAGUAAAAUUGGACUACCAUAGUAGAUAGUACCACAUAUUCGUGUAACUAAAACAUUUGAGUUAUUACAUAUUGGUUGCAAACCUUAUGAUACAUUAUAUAUUGGAUUAAGGUUGUAGACUUCGUAUCGUUUAAUGACAUUUGUUUGUAAACCCUGCUGGGAAGAAAUCUCUUCAUUUGAA